UAUCACACAAUUAAAGUGAGGGAACACCUUCCCAACCCCCACAUCUCAUCCAUCUAAAAAUUAUUUUAGUUUUGCAUUUUUUUUAUUGCAAAAAAUUAAGCUAAUUAUCUUAAUGCCCUUAACCCUACCAUAUACAACAAUCGACUAUGGUUUUCUUAUUCUUUUUUUUUUCUCUUUUCUCUGCGGCGGCAUCUCUCUCUUUUCUCGACUCCUUUCUAUCUACAAACUGUUCUUCUGUUUCUUUUUUCUUCUUCAAUCCUUCGUGAAACUUAUCCAUAGCCACUCAAUCUGAUGAAGGAAUUGAAGAAAACAGUGAAGAGGGUGAAGGAAUUGAAGGAAAAAAGAGCUCGAAGUCUAUUUACGUUUAUAGUCAUGGAUCUGCGAUUUCAGAUUAGGGUUUCGUUUUAUGAGGAAUAUUGUGUGUUUUUUUCGAUCUAGAGUUUAUUUUUGUUCUUCAUGAUUUUGAUUUAGUGUUUAGAAUAAGAUUUUAGGUUUUCUAUGAUUUAGGGUUCUUAUUGUUCUUAUUCUUCUUAUUCUUCUUCUUUUACAGUAGUUUUCGUGGUUGUAUUUAUUUCAUCUUCAGAUUCUCUUCAGAUCUAGAUUCAGUUUAACUCGGUGUUAUUAACUCAGUCGAACUUGG
Molecule: long non-coding RNA, 640 nt
Filed under: Brassica napus (rape)
Lineage: Eukaryota; Viridiplantae; Streptophyta; Magnoliopsida; Brassicales; Brassicaceae
Description: long non-coding RNA (BNAP_LNC014489)
Source: RNAcentral